UACAGAGGUGCCAAGCGUUAGGCGGAAUCACUGGGCUUAAAGCCCGCGUAGGCGGAUGUUUAAGUGUCUUGUGAAAUCCCACGGCUCAACCGUGGAACUGCUGGGCAUACUGGACAUCUCGAGGCACUCAGGGGCGAGCGGAACAAGUGGUGGAGCGGUGAAAUGCGUAGAUAUCACUUGGAACGCCAAUGGUGAAGACAGCUCGCUGGGGGUGUCCUGACGCUGAGGCGCGAAAGCCAGGGGAGCGAACGGG
This 253-nucleotide ribosomal RNA is filed under the name uncultured bacterium. Its description in RNAcentral is "partial 16S ribosomal RNA". It matches the Rfam family "Bacterial small subunit ribosomal RNA", at positions 524 to 776 of the family's 1533-position model. The record is from RNAcentral.